AUUGAACGCUGGCGGCAGGCCUAACACAUGCAAGUCGAACGAGUGGCGGACGGGUGAGUAAUGUCUAGGAAACUGCCCGAUGGAGGGGGAUAACUACUGGAAACGGUAGCUAAUACGGCAUACCAUCAGAUUUGCCAAGAUGGGAUUCGCUAGUAGGUGGGGUAAAGGCUCACCUAGGCGACGAUCCCUAGCUGGUCUGAGAGGAUGAACAGCCAAACUGGAACUGAGACACGGUCCAGAUUCCUACGGAAGGCAGCAGUGGGGAAUAUUGCCCAAUGGGGGCAAGCCUGAUGCAGCCAUCCCGCGUGUAUGAAGAAGGCCUUCGUGUUGUAAAGUACUUUCAGCGAGGAGGCGUUACUCGCAGAAGAAGCACCGGCUAACUCCGUGCCAGCAGCCGCGGUAAUAC
RNAcentral lists this ribosomal RNA (406 nucleotides) under uncultured bacterium. Its description in RNAcentral is "partial 16S ribosomal RNA". It matches the Rfam family "Bacterial small subunit ribosomal RNA", at positions 30 to 526 of the family's 1533-position model. The record is from RNAcentral.